UACUGCCACAGUGGUGAUUAAGGUUC
Molecule: non-coding RNA, 26 nt
Filed under: Homo sapiens (human)
Lineage: Eukaryota; Metazoa; Chordata; Mammalia; Primates; Hominidae
Source: RNAcentral